GGGGCCUGGUGGGUGUGUUCCCUGGCUGGCUGUGCGUGACGCUGCCUGUUCCUUUUGCAGGGGUGCCUGGUGCUGGAGGGGGAGUUCCGGCUCUAGGAUAUUACCCAGGAGCUGCUGGGGUUGGAGGCCUGGGAGCAGGAGGCCUAGGGGUUGGAGCUGGACUUGGGGGUGCAGGUGAGUACUGCCCUGAGAUACACAACCCACAGUCUCCACCUACAUGGCCCGAGGCAGCAGUGGCUGGCAAGCAGGCUCACUGCUGGCUGAGUCCCUGGGAGCAAGCACUUCUCCUGGGCACUGGUCAGCGGCUCCCCCCAGGGACCCCCCCCCCCACACACCCCUUGUGCAGAAGCACCUGUAGUGGGUCCUUCACCUUGGUGUGGAGGCAUCUGCUUCCUGAGCUACAGCGUCCCCCCAUAACCAAAGAGGGUGGCCCAUGCCCUCUUCUGCGGUGCUGUUGGAUUCUCCAGGGGGAGGGCCCUUCGGUCUCGCAGACUAACAUCUGGA
RNAcentral lists this long non-coding RNA (504 nucleotides) under Chrysemys picta bellii (western painted turtle). RNAcentral describes it as "lncRNA (ENSCPBG00000015918.1)". The record is from RNAcentral. Lineage: Eukaryota; Metazoa; Chordata; Testudines; Emydidae.